CCCGCGACAGGACGGAAAGACCCCGUGGAGCUUUACUGCAGGCUGACAUUGGACUUUGGGAUCACUCGUACAGGAUAGGUGGGAGGCUAGGAAUCAUAUGCGCCAGCAUAUGAGGAGCCGGCGUUGGGAUACCACUCUUGUGAUACUAGAGUUCUAACCUGAUACCAUGAAACUGGUAUAGGGACACUGUCAGUUGGGCAGUUUGACUGGGGCGGUCGCCUCCAAAAGAGUAACGGAGGCGCUCAAAGGUUUCCUCAGCACGGUUGGAAAUCGUGCGAAGAGUGUAAAGGCAGAAGGAAGCUUGACUGCGAGAAAGACAAUUCGAGCAGGAACGAAAGUUGGACUUAGUGAUCCGGUGGUACCGAGUGGAAGGGCCAUCGCUCAACGGAUAAAAGCUACCCCGGGGAUAACAGGCUUAUCUCCCCCAAGAGUUCACAUCGACGGGGAGGUUUGGCACCUCGAUGUCGGCUCGUCUCAUCCUGGGGCUGAAGCAGGUCCCAAGGGUUGGGCUGUUCGCCCAUUAAAGAGGCACGCGAGCUGGGUUCAGAACGUCGUGAGACAGUUCGGUCCCUAUCCGUCGUGGGCGUAGGAAAUUUGAGAGGAGCUGUCCUUAGUACGAGAGGACCGGGAUGGACAAACCUCUGGUGAAUCAGUUGUACUGCCAAGUGCAAAGCUGAGUAGCUNNNNNNNNNNAAGUUUGGAAGGGAUAAGAGCUGAAGGCAUCUAAGCACGAAGCCCCCCUCAAGAUGAGAUUUCCCAUCGCAAGAAUAAGGCACCAGAAAGACAAUCUGGUAGAUAGGCCAAGAGUGUAAGGUCAGCAAUGAUUUAAGCUAAGUGGUACUAAUAUGCCGAAGACUUGACCUAAG
This 866-nucleotide ribosomal RNA is filed under the name Vibrio parahaemolyticus. RNAcentral describes it as "partial 23S ribosomal RNA". It matches the Rfam family "Bacterial large subunit ribosomal RNA", at positions 2069 to 2925 of the family's 2925-position model. The record is from RNAcentral. Lineage: Bacteria; Pseudomonadati; Pseudomonadota; Gammaproteobacteria; Vibrionales; Vibrionaceae.